Molecule: ribosomal RNA, 660 nt
Filed under: Pseudomonas sp. AR-374
Lineage: Bacteria; Pseudomonadati; Pseudomonadota; Gammaproteobacteria; Pseudomonadales; Pseudomonadaceae
Description: bacterial SSU rRNA
Rfam family: Bacterial small subunit ribosomal RNA
Source: RNAcentral
AGCGGCGGACGGGUGAGUAAUGCCUAGGAAUCUGCCUGGUAGUGGGGGACAACGUUUCGAAAGGAACGCUAAUACCGCAUACGUCCUACGGGAGAAAGCAGGGGACCUUCGGGCCUUGCGCUAUCAGAUGAGCCUAGGUCGGAUUAGCUAGUUGGUGAGGUAAUGGCUCACCAAGGCGACGAUCCGUAACUGGUCUGAGAGGAUGAUCAGUCACACUGGAACUGAGACACGGUCCAGACUCCUACGGGAGGCAGCAGUGGGGAAUAUUGGACAAUGGGCGAAAGCCUGAUCCAGCCAUGCCGCGUGUGUGAAGAAGGUCUUCGGAUUGUAAAGCACUUUAAGUUGGGAGGAAGGGCAGUAAAUUAAUACUUUGCUGUUUUGACGUUACCGACAGAAUAAGCACCGGCUAACUCUGUGCCAGCAGCCGCGGUAAUACAGAGGGUGCAAGCGUUAAUCGGAAUUACUGGGCGUAAAGCGCGCGUAGGUGGUUCGUUAAGUUGGAUGUGAAAUCCCCGGGCUCAACCUGGGAACUGCAUUCAAAACUGUCGAGCUAGAGUAUGGUAGAGGGUGGUGGAAUUUCCUGUGUAGCGGUGAAAUGCGUAGAUAUAGGAAGGAACACCAGUGGCGAAGGCGACCACCUGGACUGAUACUGACACUGAG